Long non-coding RNA from Arabidopsis thaliana (thale cress), 380 nucleotides. RefSeq annotates it as other RNA. Lineage: Eukaryota; Viridiplantae; Streptophyta; Magnoliopsida; Brassicales; Brassicaceae. The transcript has a single exon. The record is from RefSeq.
GUUCUGAUGUGUUUGGAAUUGUUUGUUUGGAAGGAUUUGAUAACAAAUAAAAUACAAGCAAAAAAAAAAAAGAUAUGGUCAGAACUCAGAAGGCAACACAACGAAUAGGUUGCCGAGUGGGGCUCAUGCCGUUGAUUCUUCUGCUCACUGCCCCUUCUCCUGUCUAUUCACUUCCUUUGUCCCUUAUUUUUAUCUUUAUUUUUGGUGGUGAAAAUUUAUGUUUCAUUUAUACAAGCUAAAAUGUUUUUGUUAUAAGUCAAACAAAAACAAUUAUUAUUAAUAAUAUUGGAGGCUUUUAUUGUACUUUUGGUUUGAAAUUUUCGAAACUACGUCUCUUAAUUCUCAUCCUUUGAUAUUCUGUGCAAAUGAAUAUUUAUUUU